RNAcentral lists this non-coding RNA (849 nucleotides) under Madascincus melanopleura. RNAcentral's name for it is "partial 12S ribosomal RNA". It matches the Rfam family "Bacterial small subunit ribosomal RNA". Lineage: Eukaryota; Metazoa; Chordata; Lepidosauria; Squamata; Scincidae. The record is from RNAcentral.
CAAAGUUUUGGUCCUAAACUUACCUUUGUUUCUUAUCAAAAUUACACAUGCAAGCCUCUACACACCAGUGAAAAUGCCCAUUAAAAACCUAAACAGCCCCACGGAGCAGGUAUCAGGUUCAACCCAAUUAGCCAACGACACCUUGCUACGCCACCCCCCCACGGGCACUCAGCAGUGAUUAACAUUAAAACAUGAGCGAAAGCUUGAUUUGGUUAUGAUAAAUCAAGGCCGGUAAAUUUCGUGCCAGCCACCGCGGUUAUACGAAAGGCCUAAAACAAAGACCUUCGGCGUAAAGUGUGACCGCGGACUAGCCAACAACCAUAAAGAAAAACACUAACAAAGCCGUAAAACGCCAACAACAGUAAGAACAACAAAAUCUUUAUGCAUGGGGCCACCCAACCUCACGAAAACUAGGGAACAAACUGGGAUUAGAUACCCCACUAUGCCUAGCCAUAAACACAGACAGUACAAACACAAUACUGUUCGCCAGAGAACUACAAGCAAAACCUCGAAACUCCAAGGACUUGGCGGUGCUCCAUACCAACCUAGAGGAGCCUGUCCUAUAAUCGAUACUCCACGUUAAACCCCACCAUCCUUUGCCCUCAGCCUAUAUACCGCCGUCGAAAGCCUACCUUAUGAAAGCAGCGUAGUAGGCAAAACAGUUAACAACUAACACGUCAGGUCAAGGUGUAGCACAUGAGAUGGAAGAGAUGGGCUACAUUUUCUACCACAGAGCACACGAACGACUCAGUGAAACCUGCACCCAAAGGAGGAUUUAGCAGUAAGAUGGGUAACAAACCCCACCUAAACCGCUCUGGAGCGCGCUCACACCGCCGUCACCCUCAUCAC